Non-coding RNA from Caenorhabditis elegans, 197 nucleotides. NCBI's taxonomy places the organism in Eukaryota, Metazoa, Nematoda, Chromadorea, Rhabditida, Rhabditidae. The record is from Ensembl.
AUACUGACGUUUAUAAGUGUCGCUGCAUCAAUAGAUGUUGGAGUAUCGGUUAUACCAAACAGUUUUGUUGCCCCGGCGGCUUGUCAUAAGAGACCUUGAAAUAGAGAAAAGGUGAGAUGGCAGGUUGAAAAAAAAUAGAAGGCCGCCUCCCUCGCCCAUCCCUCCUGUGGCCAAUCAACUGAAUCUGACGGAACACG